UACGUAGGGGGCAAGCGUUGUCCGGAUUUAUUGGGCGUAAAGCGCGUGUAGGUGGCCUUACAGGUCCGCUGUGAAAACUCGAGGCUCAACCUCGAGACGUCGGCGGAAACCGUAUGGCUAGAGUCCGGAAGAGGAGAGUGGAAUUCCUGGUGUAGCGGUGAAAUGCGCAGAUAUCAGGAAGAACACCCGUGGCGAAGGCGGCUCUCUGGGACGGUACUGACACUGAGACGCGAAAGCGUGGGGAGCGAACAGG
This 253-nucleotide ribosomal RNA is filed under the name uncultured bacterium. RNAcentral describes it as "partial 16S ribosomal RNA". It matches the Rfam family "Bacterial small subunit ribosomal RNA", at positions 524 to 776 of the family's 1533-position model. The record is from RNAcentral.